UACGUAGGGGGCAAGCGUUAUCCGGAUUUACUGGGUGUAAAGGGAGCGUAGACGGCAGCGCAAGUCUGGAGUGAAAUCCCAUGGCUUAACCAUGGAACUGCUUUGGAAACUGUGCAGCUGGAGUGCAGGAGAGGUAAGCGGAAUUCCUAGUGUAGCGGUGAAAUGCAUAGAUAUCACACAGAACACCGAUUGCGAAGGCAUCUGACGAAUCGGAGAUUGACGCUGAUGCACGAAAGCGUGGGUAUCGAACAGG
Molecule: ribosomal RNA, 253 nt
Filed under: uncultured Eubacteriales bacterium
Lineage: Bacteria; Bacillati; Bacillota; Clostridia; Eubacteriales
Description: uncultured Clostridiales bacterium partial 16S ribosomal RNA
Rfam family: Bacterial small subunit ribosomal RNA
Source: RNAcentral